This 736-nucleotide ribosomal RNA is filed under the name uncultured bacterium. RNAcentral's name for it is "bacterial SSU rRNA". It matches the Rfam family "Bacterial small subunit ribosomal RNA", at positions 366 to 1104 of the family's 1533-position model. The record is from RNAcentral.
GGGCAAUGGCCGAGAGGCUGACCCAGCCAUGCCGCGUGCAGGAUGAAGGCUUUCUGAGUCGUAAACUGCUUUUACCAGGGAAGAAAAAAGGGGAUGCGUCCCCUACUGACGGUACCUGGUGAAUAAGCACCGGCUAACUCCGUGCCAGCAGCCGCGGUAAUACGGAGGGUGCAAGCGUUGUCCGGAUUUAUUGGGUUUAAAGGGUGCGUAGGCGGCCGAUUAAGUCUGGGGCGAAAGCCCGUUGCUCAACAACGGAACUGCCCCGGAAACUGGUUGGCUUGAGUACAGACGAGGGUGGCGGAAUGGACGGUGUAGCGGUGAAAUGCAUAGAUACCGUCCAGAACCCCGAUUGCGAAGGCAGCUGCCUAGACUGUAACUGACGCUGAGGCACGAAAGCGUGGGGAGCGAACAGGAUUAGAUACCCUGGUAGUCCACGCCGUAAACGAUGGAUACUCGCUGGUGGCGACAGACUGUCACUGGCUUAGCGAAAGCGUUAAGUAUCCCACCUGGGGAGUACGCUCGCAAGAGUGAAACUCAAAAGAAUUGACGGGGGCCCGCACAAGUGGUGGAGCAUGUGGUUUAAUUCGAUGAUACGCGAGGAACCUUACCUAGGCUAGAAUGCGCGUGACCGGUUCAGAGAUGAGCCUUUCCUUCGGGACACAAAGCAAGGUGCUGCAUGGCCGUCGUCAGCUCGUGCCGUGAGGUGUUGGGUUAAGUCCCGCAACGAGCGCAACCC